RNAcentral lists this long non-coding RNA (271 nucleotides) under Brassica napus (rape). Its description in RNAcentral is "long non-coding RNA (BNAP_LNC013656)". Lineage: Eukaryota; Viridiplantae; Streptophyta; Magnoliopsida; Brassicales; Brassicaceae. The record is from RNAcentral.
GUGGGGUUUAGGAUUUAGGAUUUAGGGUUUAGGGUUUAGAGUUUAGGGUUUAGGGUUUAAAUUUUAGGGUUUAGGGUUUAGGGUUUAGGGUUUAGGGUUUACGGUUUACGGUUUAGGGUUUAAAAUUUAGGGUUUAGGGUUUAGAGUUUAGGGUUUAGAGUUGAGAAAUGAGGUUUUGGGUUUAAGAUUUCAAAUUUUGAAAUAUAAAAAAAUUAAAAUUUUCAAAGGAUAAACUUAUAAAGGUGUUAUUUUGGUCAUUUUAGUUUUUGAG